GGGUUGUUAAGGGGGCAGACAUUACAUGCAAGUCGAACGGUGAAGCCAAGCUUGCUUGGUGGAUCAGUGGCGAACGGGUGAGUAACACGUGAGCAACCUGCCCUGGACUCUGGGAUAAGCGCUGGAAACGGCGUCUAAUACUGGAUAUGAGCUCUCAUCGCAUGGUGGGGGUUGGAAAGAUUUUUCGGUCUGGGAUGGGCUCGCGGCCUAUCAGCUUGUUGGUGAGGUAAUGGCUCACCAAGGCGUCGACGGGUAGCCGGCCUGAGAGGGUGACCGGCCACACUGGGACUGAGACACGGCCCAGACUCCUACGGGAGGCAGCAGUGGGGAAUAUUGCACAAUGGGCGGAAGCCUGAUGCAGCAACGCCGCGUGAGGGAUGACGGCCUUCGGGUUGUAAACCUCUUUUAGCAGGGAAGAAGCGAGAGUGACGGUACCUGCAGAAAAAGCGCCGGCUAACUACGUGCCAGCAGCCGCGGUAAUACGUAGGGCGCAAGCGUUAUCCGGAAUUAUUGGGCGUAAAGAGCUCGUAGGCGGUUUGUCGCGUCUGCUGUGAAAUCCCGAGGCUCAACCUCGGGCCUGCAGUGGGUACGGGCAGACUAGAGUGCGGUAGGGGAGAUUGGAAUUCCUGGUGUAGCGGUGGAAUGCGCAGAUAUCAGGAGGAACACCGAUGGCGAAGGCAGAUCUCUGGGCCGUAACUGACGCUGAGGAGCGAAAGGGUGGGGAGCAAACAGGCUUAGAUACCCUGGUAGUCCACCCCGUAAACGUUGGGAACUAGUUGUGGGGACCAUUCCACGGUUUCCGUGACGCAGCUAACGCAUUAAGUUCCCCGCCUGGGGAGUACGGCCGCAAGGCUAAAACUCAAAGGAAUUGACGGGGACCCGCACAAGCGGCGGAGCAUGCGGAUUAAUUCGAUGCAACGCGAAGAACCUUACCAAGGCUUGACAUACACCAGAACACCGUAGAAAUACGGGACUCUUUGGACACUGGUGAACAGGUGGUGCAUGGUUGUCGUCAGCUCGUGUCGUGAGAUGUUGGGUUAAGUCCCGCAACGAGCGCAACCCUCGUUCUAUGUUGCCAGCACGUAAUGGUGGGAACUCAUGGGAUACUGCCGGGGUCAACUCGGAGGAAGGUGGGGAUGACGUCAAAUCAUCAUGCCCCUUAUGUCUUGGGCUUCACGCAUGCUACAAUGGCCGGUACAAAGGGCUGCAAUACCGUGAGGUGGAGCGAAUCCCAAAAAGCCGGUCCCAGUUCGGAUUGAGGUCUGCAACUCGACCUCAUGAAGUCGGAGUCGCUAGUAAUCGCAGAUCAGCAACGCUGCGGUGAAUACGUUCCCGGGUCUUGUACACACCGCCCGUCAAGUGCGAUGAAAGUCGGUAACACCUGAAGCCGGUGUGCCCAACUGCGCUAGUGGAGGGAGUACCAGUAUAUAUGUUGACCCGCUUCUCGA
This 1448-nucleotide ribosomal RNA is filed under the name Microbacterium sp. Bza12. RNAcentral describes it as "bacterial SSU rRNA". It matches the Rfam family "Bacterial small subunit ribosomal RNA". Lineage: Bacteria; Bacillati; Actinomycetota; Actinomycetes; Micrococcales; Microbacteriaceae. The record is from RNAcentral.